AUCGAACGCUGGCGGCAUGCCUUACACAUGCAAGUCGAACGGCAGCACGGGUGCUUGCCCCUGGUGGCGAGUGGCGAACGGGUGAGUAAUACAUUGGAACAUGUCCUGUAGUGGGGGAUAGCCCGGCGAAAGCCGGAUUAAUACCGCAUACGAUCUACGGAUGAAAGCGGGGGACCUUCGGGCCUCGCGCUAUAGGGUUGGCCGAUGGCUGAUUAGCUAGUUGGUGGGGUAAAGGCCUACCAAGGCGACGAUCAGUAGCUGGUCUGAGAGGACGACCAGCCACACUGGGACUGAGACACGGCCCAGACUCCUACGGGAGGCAGCAGUGGGGAAUUUUGGACAAUGGGCGAAAGCCUGAUCCAGCAAUGCCGCGUGUGUGAAGAAGGCCUUCGGGUUGUAAAGCACUUUUGUCCGGAAAGAAAUCCUUGGCCCUAAUACGGUCGGGGGAUGACGGUACCGGAAGAAUAAGCACCGGCUAACUACGUG
Molecule: ribosomal RNA, 486 nt
Filed under: uncultured bacterium
Lineage: Bacteria
Description: partial 16S ribosomal RNA
Rfam family: Bacterial small subunit ribosomal RNA
Source: RNAcentral